Molecule: long non-coding RNA, 1806 nt
Organism: Oncorhynchus gorbuscha (pink salmon)
Lineage: Eukaryota; Metazoa; Chordata; Actinopteri; Salmoniformes; Salmonidae
Exons: 5
Source: RefSeq, a predicted model, not a curated record
UUGACAUCUGUGCACCGUGUAACGCAAACGCAGAGAGGAGUGCGUGCAAGGAUAGGAGUUUUAUUGUGAGAAAUGCUUGUUUCCAAAGCCGAUUUUUUUUUCUCCCAACAAUCACAGGCUGUGAAGUCCUGCUUUUAAUGCAUUGCACACACUGAAUAUCACGUGAAAAACAAGAAUGAGAAGAACGGAUUAGAUUUACAUCCCCUUUGGGCUCCCGAGUGGCGCGGUCUAAGGUUCUGCAUCUCAGUGCUUGAGGCGUCACUACAGACACCCUAGUUCGAUUCCAGGUUGUAUCACAACCGGCUGUGAUUGGGAGUCCCAUAGGGUGGCGCACAGGUUGUUCUUAAAUGGCUUGCCUAGUUAAAUAAAUAGAUCGCUGUUUCUGCGAACUAGCUUGUUACAAUGCUAACUAGUGUGUAAGGAUAACAUUACAAGUGAUACAUUCAUUGUCAUUUAUGCCAAGUUCUUACUAGUUAGCUAUUCCCUGUACAAUGUAAUAGGGGACUUGUCGUGCUGCGUUUGUUGGCUAUGUUGCAGCAGGCUGUCACAAGCAUUCCACUGAUAACGUAGGAAAUAAUCAUUCUUAUCUUUGAACAGUUCGGAGGGUUCAAAGAACCAAUUGACGGACCUUGUUCCAAUUGUAAUUAACCAUUCUGAAGGAGACCCCAAACUCUCAAUGGAAUAUUGAGGAUCACAUCAAAACCAAAUUGCCCAACAUUAGCCUUUCAUUGCUAAAGCCCCACUUCCUGGAGUUCAACAUCAUCAUGAUCAGGGGUAACAGUGGGUUGAAGCCCAGAGACAAUGAAAUGAACCCUAAACCCUGGCCAAUCAACUACCAGGGAUAGAGGUUCUCGGGAGUGAAUGAGACGGAAUACUGUGUCUACCUGUUAGGGAAUCCUGUGAUCUGGUGGCUGAACCUGGUCAGUCUGGGCCUGUAAGUGGUUAUGGUGGCAGCAGCCUCUCUGGCCCGCCGCAGAGGAGUCCAGCUGGACAAGAGAACAGUAGGUAGGAGGAUUUAGAACUUCCCUGUCACUGUCAUGAGUAACUUAUUUUGAGUACCUCAUUCUAACGCUGAUGUGUAUGUGCAGAGCAUUGUUGCGUGCUGAUGGAAGGUGGAGGACUGCUGCUCCUGAGCUGGCUGGCUACACUAUGUACCCUUCUACACCACGUACCCUUCUACACCACGUACCCUUCUACACCACGUACCCUUCUACACCACGUACCCUUCUACACCACGUACCCUUCUACACUACGUACCCUUCUACACCACGUACCCUUCUACACCACGUACCCUUCUACACCACGUACCCUUCUACACCACGUACCCUUCUACACCACGUACCCUUCUACACCACGUACCCUUCUACACCACAGGCCGCAUUCUUUACUACCACCACUACUUCCCUGCCAUGCUCUUCAGCAGCAUGCUAACAGAUACAGUGGGCCUACCACAAAAACACAUGCUCCCCAUAAUUCCCCCGGUCAUGUAGACCAACUCAGUGGCCUUGUGGUUAGUAUCGGUCCUUGGAGUGGAAGUUCUAUUCAUACCAAAAGACAAAAAAAUGUGAUCCGAUGCGUCUCUGCCUGGAGCCACCACAGCAUCAAGGAGAUCGAUUGGGGGUAAGGCCAUCAAGCUGCCUCAUGCUGCAGAAACAGGAGGUAGGCUCCUGCUCCAAUGAGCUGUUCCGGAAGGUACCACGUUCAUCUGUACAAACAAUAGUACGCAAGUAUAAACAUCAUGGGACCACGCAGCCGUCAUACCACUCAGGAAGGAGACGCGUUCUGUCUCCUAGAGAUGAACGGACU